CACUGCAAAAAAAGCACGUGCGGGGCCUCAAUGCCGCACGUGCGGGAGAUCCUAGCCGCACGUGCGGCUCAAGGCAGAAAAGUUGGGAUGCUCUGUUUUGCGUGUUGGGUCCUCUAAUGUUGUCAAAACCUGCAAUUUAUAUUGUUUGAAUGAAACACCUCAAAAGGAAGUGCACCGCCACAACACAGUAAUCAACCAGGAGGUCGAUCUUAGCUCGGCAUCGUCAUACUUUUGUCAGCCUAGGCACAGCCAAGCUUGGGGUCGAACCCUACUUUUGUGGAAGUUGUUAGAUGAUGACUCACACUUUUGCUAGUAACUUAAGUUGUUAUGUACUUAAUGAUUUUGUUAUAUACCCCACCUCGGGGUUGGUAUUGUAUAUGCCUGUAAUUAACUAACUCUUAAAUAUAUUUUGGCUUCUAAUGUACUUGUCCUGU
Non-coding RNA from Camellia sinensis, 434 nucleotides. The record is from RefSeq and is a predicted model, not a curated record. Lineage: Eukaryota; Viridiplantae; Streptophyta; Magnoliopsida; Ericales; Theaceae.